This 7050-nucleotide long non-coding RNA is filed under the name Physcomitrium patens. Its description in RNAcentral is "long non-coding RNA (PPAT_LNC007723)". Lineage: Eukaryota; Viridiplantae; Streptophyta; Bryopsida; Funariales; Funariaceae. The record is from RNAcentral.
UUGUAAACCCCAAUCCUAAUUAGUUAGCUUUUACAAGUUGUAACAUCCAAUCCGACCAUCCACUUGAUGUGGAAUUCUUCAUACAAUUGUCAAUGCAAGUCUUCUAAAUGAUCAAGAACUUUUAGCCCAAUCCAACUUACAGAUUGUGAAAAAACCUCCAAAAAUUACACCAAUGUCACUCGGCCACCAACUUGAAAAGUGAAGCAGAAAUCCCAGCAAUGAUUUCUCCUUCUCCAACCAUUAACUUUGUCUUAAAAUUGGUGCAUAGCUUGAUUUUUAAGUCUUCCAAAACCAUGCUAAUUUUCACCUUAAUCCGACUGAUUGAUCUUUAGAUAUCAUAGAAAUCCUACUCAACCUCAAACUGCCACCUUCUGAAACCUUCUUGUGCUAAAAACUAGAUAUCUCUAAACCAUGUCGUUAGAUUAUCACAAAAUUUUGUUUACACUUAGCACAUGCAAUAAUCCAAACAAUAUCAAAUUUCAACCAUAGAUGUCAUGCCAAUUGCACAAACUAGCCAAAAUUGCUAACCCUAAUUAUAUUAUAUAAAACCCAAAUCAUGGAUACAAACCUUGACUUUGAUCAACAAUUGUUAAGUCCUCCAAAACCCUCUCAUAACAAUUCUUAUGUCUUUGGAAAGAAAUUCAAGCUAGCUCUCAAACUUUCACCUCCGAUCUUUGAAUGAAACCUUAUUUUAUCCUAGGCUAUCAUUUUAGUGACCAAAGGUCUGAUUUUGACCCUAUCUCACAAACAGUCGACCCUCGGAUCUCAAUCUAUCCUAUCCUAAGGAUUUUUUAGUCCAAUCCUACUCUCAACUUAACCUUAGUACCAACUAUACUAAUUAUUUAUCUCUUCUAACCUGAUUUCAUCAAUUUAUAGUCUUUCUAAGGUAGUAGAAGAGUCUCUACAACUUAGAAGGUAAAAUUACUAAUUAACCUUCAACCUACUAAUUAUUAAGAUAAGAAAAUAACUUAAGAGGAUUUUAUAAAAGCCAUAUUAAGAUACCUCAAAUUAAAAUUAAACUAAGAUAAUAAGAUAUUAAUUAGAAAUUCAAUUUUGAUUAUAAUUUCAUUAUAUAGUUGUAUUACAUCACGACAUCCACCCCCUCUUAAUGUGCGCAUCCUUUGGCAUGCGCCAAAUGAACCAUUUGUCAUAAUUGGCAUUACAUCAUCUCUUCAUUUUUUUCAUCAAAUCCUUCAUUUUUAUUUUCACCAUCUUCUUCAAAACAAUUAUCUUCUUCAAAAAUGUUAAUAUCUUUAGCAUGACCCUCCAUAUUGAUUUCUCUAUCUCAUCUUUUAAAAAUCUUUACGCGCUUUUCAGUAAUAGGUAUUUUCAACCUCAUACCAUCUAACUCCCUUAAUGAAUAUGCGGCAUUAUCAUGAACCAUUACAACCACAUAUGGUCUAAACCAAUGUUACAAAAACUUUCGCAAAGUACUAUAUUGGUUAUUCAGACUGCUAUCAUAAACAAGUACUCAAUCACCUUUUUCAAUUGCUCUAGGUCUCAAUUGAUGUUGCUUGUCAAAUCGAGUCUUAUUUCCUAACCUUACCUUUUGUAAACUUUUUAAUGUUAAUUCCACAUCUUCCGACCUUUGUUCAAGUUGCCGGAUUCUAAUUGCCGGAUUCUAAUCGCAAUAUCUGAUAUUAUACAAUUGGUAAUCAUUCCAAUUAAAGGUAAACAAUCUAUUUCAAUUACCACCAGAGCUCUAAUCAAAUAAUCCUUUUCAGCUUUCAUAGCUGAAACAACUCUCUAUAGUUCCCUUUUCACCUGUGAAUAUGCACAUUGUCAAGUACUUAAAACUUUAGCUCCAAAUUGCACUACAAAUCUGUAUCCAUUUGAGUCAUUCUGACCUACAGUCCAUCUAAUGGCAAUCGGACUAGUAUCCAUAGUAAGAAUCACUAGUCUAUUACUCUUAUAAUCAAUUUUUCUCAAUACUAGAGGCAAUAUCAAUAAUUUCUUCAAUCUUUGUACUGCUUUAACAUGCUUUUCUUUCCAUUUAAAUCGAUAGCCUUUGCUUAAUAGUUCAUAUAGCAGAUCCGCUAUGUGUGCAUAAUGAAGAAUCCAAAUAUGAUAAAAUACAUAUACAUCUAAAAACCUAUAAAUCUCUGUUAAAGAACUACAAUCUUCUUUCAUUCUCUCAAUUGCAUCAACUUUAGUUGGAUCUAAUUUUUUUCCAUAAAAUCCACACAGAUGUCCAAAAAUCACAACCUCUUGUACUCCAAAUGAAGAUUUUAUACUCGAUAAUGUAAGAUGAACUUCUCCAAGCUGAGUCAAUAUUAUUUUAUAAUCUUGUAUAUGAUCAGCAAUAUACUUGCGACACCCCCUUUUAUCUAAAGUUUCAUCCUUGUCUUCUUCUUUGCAUCCCUUUAUAGGAACGUCAUCUAGAAAAGCCAUAGUCUUUUCUAGAAUAAAAUCUUCCAAUACCUUAUUCAUCCCUUUCAUCAUGUGCGCAAUUGAGUUGGUUGUGCCUUGAGGAAGAGUACACAUUCUAACUAAUCUAAGUAGUGUUCUCAUCAUUGUCAUAUUUCUACUUCCUUUUGCAAGUUGAAAUUGGUCAUAGCCCGAAUAUAAAUCACCCAUUAAAUAGAUUGCCCUUCUUGCAAACACCUUAGCAAAUUCAUCUACUAUAGGUCCAAUUUCUGCAUUCUUGAUAGUUACUGCAUUUACAGGUUGCAUAUCUUGAAUAAAACGUAAUGACUCAUAUUUCUUAAGCACUGUAAACCAUCGACUAGAAUAUGGUGCAAAAGAAGGCUCCAAAAUCUUCAACUUUAUCUUUUCUUUUAAUAAUUCCACCGAGCUUGGUAAAUGUGUCCUUGGUAUUCGAAUUGGCCUUAGAUUCUAAGGUACAUAUGAUACAAAGGAAAUAAUCAUAGGUCUUAUAAUAUUUGGAUCCACAUACCCAAUUUCAUAAGAUUCAAAGGUAAAUGAUCUACCUUAUUUUGCCAACAUCUCUUGGAAGCAGGUAAUUUCCUCUAGCAAUAAAGAACCAUCAGAACUAAUCUUUAAUUCUUCAAAAGUCUCUUUAGUAAACUUGUGACCAAUAUUCUUUGGAUCUCUCAAGCUCCUUUCUAUUGAUGAUUCUCUCAUUUGUUCUUUAAAAUCUUCUGGCAAAGGUCCUGCAUCCAUUUAACUUUCUUAUCUACUAUCUUAUAUUUUGUCUCAAUUAUAACCACCAGUGCUUGAAAAGAUUCAAUCAUAUCAUAAACUUCUCUUAAAUGAAUUGGUAUAACUUUAUCAUCAUUACCUAAUCCAAUAGAUACAAUCAAUUCCAAAGGAUCCUCUAGUCUAUUUUUUUCAUAAAUACCAGUAAUCUUUUCAUACCUUCUAAUAUUCCUAACUUAUAUAAUUCUCUUUUAAUAGUACUUAAUUCCUUUCUUUUUUACUUUUUAAGUCAUCAAUCUUCUUAUACAUAAUGCUUUCAUUUUCAAAAAUACUAAUAAAUCCUCCAUUAAAGAUACCUACAUCUUGCGAGAGUACCUCUCUUUUUGUACCUCUAUAAUCUUGCUUUAUAGUAGUACCUUCAAAAAAUCCUUGAAUUCUUCAACAAUCUUGGACAAUGAAUUUUCUCUCAAUUCGUCUCGAUUCCGUUCAUGAUUUUGAGGCAUAGUCAAAAACUGAAUUUCCCUCCUCCCAUCCUCACUAUAAAUUUGUGCAUAAGCUAAACCAUCAUCAAGUACCUAUAUUUAAAAGUAGCCUUUAAACUUAUUGUAGAAGUCUUUCCUUCAAGCCUUGCAAGUUUGAUUUAAAGAUCUCGCAUCCCUCAUAUAAUCUCCUCAAGUCCAAUAUCUUCUUUCUUUGGUGUAGCUAAUGGAGGUUGGACAAUAGGCACAGUCAAUCUUGCAGUAUGCAUUAGAGUCUUUGGUACUUGUACAACUCUUCGAGUACUAAACCUAUCCUUUCUCUUUUCUUUUUUUUACAAGUAAUCCAAUAGCGUCUUCAACAGCUUUCCACUUUAUUGUCAAUCCUUCCUCUUCUUCCUUAUCUUCAAGAAGAACGUCUAACUUCUCUUAUAAUUCUUCAUUAGCAGCUUGAAGAAACAAUUCAACCUUCUUUGGUCCCAAUAUUAAUUUUUCUAUUUUUGAUAAUCAAAAAAAUUACCUUUCAAAUUCUCUUAAUAAUUCUAUAGCUUGCAAAUUUUUUUUAGGUCGCUCAAUCCAUUCCAAGAAUGAUUUCUUGGUAAUUCGAUCAAUAUCCUCUAAAAAAUACUCAUCCUUCAAUGUAUGUGAAAAUACCUCCCAUAAACUUCCAAAUUGUCCUAUAAUAGACCUUAUAUGCUCUCUUAUCUCUAGUACCGUUGUCAUGAUAUAACACGAUUAAUAGGUGAAAGAGUGUAGAUAUUAUUAUAAUUUAGGAGAUCUUAGUUUUAAGUAUUAGAACAAAUUAUCUUAGAAAUAUAGUUAAUAGUCAAAGGGGUAGAAAAAUUAAAAGGUACCAAUACUGCAUUUUAGAAAGGUGACUUCUACUUAUUUUGUAGCACCAUAAAUAAGGCAAAUCAAAGUAGAUUGGAAAAAUAAAUAAUAUAGGCAUCUUUAGAAAGAAGUUAAGAGAAAAUUUUUAAAAAAAUUUACUUAGAAAAAUUAGAUAUUGAUACCUAGAGAGGGCCGGUUAUAAACCAGGGUCGAAAUCAGACCCUAGGCACAAAACCGAGUCUCGACGAUAAUUCAAGGACUCUUUGGCAGAUCAUAGAAUGAGGAUUUGAUAGAAUAUUGGAAAGGAUUUCUAUGAACAUUGAUUUUAAGUGAUUCGGAGAUGUUAUGACUUUGUAAGAGCUUUGAAAAGUAAAGAUUUGUUUCAUAUAACUUGGGUUUUAUGAAAUAAAAUAGAGUUUACGUUUUGGGUGAUUUUGAGAGUUCUGUAAUAGAUCUACAAGUAAAAUUUUGUAGGUUUAUGGUUAUAAUUGUGUUUAAUAUGUGUCAAUCUAAUGGUUGAAUUGUGGGAUAAUGAGGUUUAAGUGGGUCAAAGUCUCAGAAAAUAGAAUUUUAGGUCUAGUGGGAUUUUUAAGAUUUCUUGCAAUCUACUAAUUGGAUUAAAAUAAAUCUUUUGUGAAAGGAUAUAAGACUUGUUUUUCUAUACACAUGAGAAUUUUGAGAUCAAUCGAAUAAUGCAAAGGAGAGAUAUUGGCUUUGGAAUAUUGGCAUUAAGAUUGGAGAAGGAAGCCGGCCAAUACCCAAGCACAUUUUUGAGGUUAUCGUCAAUUUGGUAAUUCCGAUCCUUUUCAAUAUUUUUGUGUUUUUUUUUAACUUAUUUUUUUAGAAGUAUGCAAAGUUUGAGUUAAGAUCAACGGUUUAUUCAUUAGUUAUUGAGGUUUAAAUCUGUUGUAGGAAUUACUAGGAUUUGGUUUAGGAUUUAGGAUUUUGAUUAGGGUUUGAUUUAAGAUUUAGGAUUUGUUUAGGGAUUUAUUUAGGGUUUAGGAUUUUUUUAGAGUUUGAUUUAGGAUUAAGGAUUUGAUUAGGAGUUUAUUAAGGAUUUAAGAUUUGUUUAGAGUUUAAUUUAGGAUUUAGGAUUUGGAUUAGGAUUUAGAUUAGAGUUUAGGAUUUGGAUUAGGGUUUGAUUUAGGAUUUGAUUAAGGUUUAAUUUAAGGUUUAGGAUUUAGUUAGGAUUUGAUUUAGGGUUAAGGAUUUGGUUAAGAUUUUAUUUAUGGUUUAGAGUUUGGAUUAGGAUUUAGUUAAGGGUUUAGGAUUUGGAUUAGGAUUUUGUUAGGAUUUGAUUUAGAAUUUAGAGUUUGGUUUAGGAUUUGGAUUAGGAUUUUGUUAGGAUUUGAUUUAGGAUUUAGAGUUUGGUUUAGGAUUUGGUUAGGAUUUGGUUUAGGAUUUGUUUGGAAUUAGGUUUAAGGUUUGUUUAGGGUUUGAUUUAGGAUUUAGGAUUUUAUUAGGAUUUAAGAUUAAAUUAGUUUUGGCCUAAAGUUUGAAUGAAGUUCAAUAGGAUUUUAACUAGAAUUAAAUUAAGAUUGAAUUGAGAUGUAUUUGAGUGAUAUUUGUGAUCCUUCUAAUAUUUCUUUAAGAAUUCUUAUUGUUUGUUUGAAAUUUCUUUGAGGUUUUUUUGAAUUUGAUUAAGCUUGCUUAGCUUUAUUAUGGUCUAAUUAGAGCAUUAUUAGUAUUCUAUUAGAAUUAGGAUUUUUUUAUUGCAAUUUCAUUCUUCCUUCCACAACUAGGUGCUCGGAGCAUUCUCAAGCAAGACCUCAUGUAUUACGACACCAUAGCAAGCUCAAAUAAAUGAAUCAUCUCUUUCUUAGAAAUGCGAUUCAAUUCCAUUUUCCGCACAUAACAUCUUAAAAAUUUAGAAAUAUCCUUUCCAUUAUAUUGGUCAACCUUGUUAAUCACUACUUACAAUGUUUUGGUUGCCAAAGCCUCUUUGUGAACAUUGCCUUAUUACUGUUGCAUAAACAAUGUAAAUGCUUGAAAUUUUUUUGCAGUGUUUGAGUUAAGGUACAUACCUUGUUCACCAGUAGAAAUUCCACUUCAAGUUGUGCUUAAAGAUCCACUUGAAGCUCCACACAAAGCUCCAUCAAAAAAUCAAAAUUUAACCCUCUUGUCUUCUUGCGCCAUCAAUUCCAAAUAAUAAAAAAUAUAAUCCAAUACCUUCCACCUCAAACAUUCACGUGGGAUUCACCACUUAUGUCAUAUUACAUGUUGUUUUGCUCAAGAAUGCACCAGGCACUUAGUUGUAAAAGGUGAGAUUAUCUUUCAUAAGUAGCCAAGAAAACCUAAUAGAUUAUAUCCAUGCGAGAAGAAUAUAAUCUGAACUUCAAUUCAAAAGUGCUUAAAAUACUCUUUUUAGUAGUCUUACCCAUACAUAAAUCCCAAUUACCUUGUUACUUUCAUAUUUAAGCAAUUUAGAUUUUUCUUGUAAACCCCAAUCCUAAUUAGUUAGCUUUUACAAGUUGUAACAUCCAAUCCGACCAUCCACUUGAUGUGGAAUUCUUCAUACAAUUGUCAAUGCAAGUCUUCUAAAUGAUCAAGAACUUUUAGCCCAAUCCAACUUACAGAUUGUGAAAAAACCUCCAAAAAUUGCACCAAUGUCACUCGGCCACCAACUUGAAAAGUGAAGCAGAAA